Molecule: long non-coding RNA, 2452 nt
Organism: Crotalus tigris (Tiger rattlesnake)
Lineage: Eukaryota; Metazoa; Chordata; Lepidosauria; Squamata; Viperidae
Exons: 2
Source: RefSeq, a predicted model, not a curated record
GUAGUUUCUUUUAUUUUCAUCUUUUUCAAAGAUUUGGCAGAUGAAAGAAAAGAUAAGUCAGAUUAACUCAGGAAUUUUCAAAUGAACAAGUCACUUUGGAUCACUCCCAAAGCUACAAUUAAUUAUUCCCAAAAAAAUUCUACAGACAUCUGUAGAACUACCCUAGAUUGUAUAUUCUGAUUAUGGUGCCCUAAGAUAUAUUGAUGCUUUAAUAUCACUCAUUGCAUUUUAAUAUUGGACAGAAUCAUUUUUUUUCUCUGUGUUGGAAGCUUGAAAGAACUACAACUGGUGUUGCAGUUCUGAAAGAAAAGAAGAAGCUUAAUGUUGUUAAACAGUGAUGGAAUAGAAUGUAAAAGGAAAUUAAACAUUGGUCAAUAAUUCUACAAUUAUAUAACAUGGAGAAAUUUUGCCAGAAAAAACAACGUUCUUGGAGGAGCAGAAACUGGUGUUUAAAAUCAUAUUCAACUGGACAUUACCUUCCAUUUUAUUCCUUUCUUGUUAUAUAAAAUGUGUUUGCAUGAUAAGUGUGUAUUUCAUACAUGUUCUUUAUCUUUGCACCAUGGCAUACUUAUAUGGCAUGGGCAAAGAAGGUCAAAUUAAUCAAGACUAUAUAGUACCUAAAGUCUAGAUUAUAGUAGCUAAGGUUAACAUUUCAUUUAUCAAUAAAUAUAGUCUUAUUUCCAUGUUCUUUUAAAAAAAUAUAUAUUCUUAGUCAAUAUCAAAUAGUUGUUUUCGAUAAAUAUAUCAUAGAUUAAAAAGUAUUUCUAGAUAGUUUAUAUUCAAAAGGGCAAAAUUAUGAAGAAUAGAGCUGAAUAAGUAAUAGUCUCUCAGCAGAAUCAUAUCAUGAGUGUUUAAAUUGUCAAGAAUAAAAAUGAUAACAUAUAAUUUAGUGGUACAUUAAGAAUGUCCACACACUUGGGAAUAAGCUGUUAGACACCAUGAAAUUUAUUAUUGAGGAAAUACAGGAAUGCGUAGUAAAUUUUAUAAAGUGAAUUAUAACCUGUAAUAUGAUGAUUUAGUAGCUACUUAUAAUGUAUUCUUAAGAAAAUAUUUUUCUCCUACAAAAUGCAUAGUUUAAAAGGCUAAAGCUUGUUAAAUUAUAUCAGCCUUGUGCAAAAAGUAUAUACUGGAAUGUUAUCUUUAUACAGUAAUACUUGAUAAAUUUGCCUAGUAGUUAUUCAACUAAAAAUAGAUAUAGAUAAAAAUGGUUCAAUGCUAUGCAUAUGGCUUUUUCCUAUUCUGAGAAACACUCUGGAUAUACUUGUGUGUGAGUGCCCGUGCGUGUACAUAUAUCUAUAUCUAUCAUUUUAAUUAAAAUGUUUUAAUUUAGUUUAACCUAAUUUUUGUUUUAGUUCUAGAUUAGUGACACAAUUAGAUUGGCUCUUUAUCUCUCUUAGAUUAGUGUGGCAGCCAAUCAUUUGUGUUUGUGCAUAAUUAAUUAAGCUUCCUACCUUAAUGAUAAUGCUGAAAGUGUGCUAGACCCCUUCAUCUUUUGACUUUCCAUUGUCUUCCUCAUUCUCAUUUUCUCUCUCUCUCUCAUUUUUUCUCUCUCUGUCUCUCUCUCUCUGUGUCUCUCUCAUGUUUUACAUGACUAAGGAAUUAAAUCAUCAUCUUUUCAUCACUGUGGUCAUACUUUCACUCAAUAGAGUCUGUACUUUUAUGUUUAGGAAGUAAAGUGCUUACAACUUCUUUCUCUCUCUCUCUCCUGUAGUUACACAGUAAGGAUUUUUGAAUGUAUAAUGUCAUCUAAGGUGGUCUUUCGUUCUUCCGACUACUACUACAAGGGGUACCUCCGCAUAUUGCCCAGUCCUAUAUGAAAGAAAUAGAAGCAAGCAAGUUUGGAAAAAAAUAAAUUCUGGCCCCAGUGCUUCUCUGCUUCUGCACCAGAAACUGCUAGCUACUCCACAGCCUCUCAUUUCUACCGUGAUCCUCCUAAAUCAUAUAUUGCCCCUUCCGUCUUGCUCCUGUUGCUGGUGGAAAGAAAAACUCACGCAUGGAUUGCUUUUUUUUUUUUUUUGAAGUUUAAUGAAAUAAGCUGAUGCUUACCUGCAUUUUGUAUCAUUGUGUAUUUCUGUUUCCUUCUCUUUGCCCUCUCUUUUUUAAUGCAAAAAAAAAAAAGACAAGCUAAAGAAAUAUGCAUGAGAGCUCAUUUAUAGUUUCUAAUUUAUAUGGCUAGAUACUUUUUUUGUGAAACGUAGAUGCUGCCAUACCCAAUAACAAUGCAAUCAAAACAUACCUCUUUUGAUAACCAAAUAACAAAUUAUAGGUGGACAUGUUUCCUGUGUACACGAUUUACAGCAGUUAACCAUUAAUUGAGCUGAAUGCAUCUCAAUUUAAAAGAGUUUUUUUUUCUCUGUUGUUCAUUUGUAAAUCCCAUUUCUUUGAGCUACUACAGGGGAUUUUUUUUUGGUGAUGUACAAUAAAGCUGAAGUGUUUAUGACCUAGUCACAUA